This 467-nucleotide ribosomal RNA is filed under the name uncultured bacterium. RNAcentral describes it as "partial 16S ribosomal RNA". It matches the Rfam family "Bacterial small subunit ribosomal RNA", at positions 28 to 507 of the family's 1533-position model. The record is from RNAcentral.
GACGAACGCUGGCGGCGUGCUUAACACAUGCAAGUCGAACGGAAAGGCCUCUUUCGGGGGGUACUCGAGUGGCGAACGGGUGAGUAACACGUGAGUAACCUGCCCUUGACUUUGGGAUAACUUCAGGAAACUGGGGCUAAUACCGGAUAGGAGCUCCUGCUGCAUGGUGGGGGUUGGAAAGUUUCGGCGGUUGGGGAUGGACUCGCGGCUUAUCAGCUUGUUGGUGGGGUAGUGGCUUACCAAGGCCUUGACGGGUAGCCGGCCUGAGAGGGUGACCGGCCACAUUGGGACUGAGAUGCGGCCCAGGCUCCUACGGGAGGCAGCAGUGGGGAAUCUUGCACGAGCGGUGGAGGCCUGAUGCAGCAGCGCCGUGUGCGGGAUGACGGCCUUCGGGUUGUAAACCGCUUUCGCUCAUGACGAAGCUCUGUGUGACGGUAGUGGGUAAAGAAGCACCGGCUAACUACGUG